UACAGAGGGUGCGAGCGUUGUUCGGAAUUAUUGGGCGUGAAGGGCGCGUAGGCGGUGCGGUAAGUCACCUGUGAAAUCUCCUGGCUCAACUGGGAGCUUGCAGGCGAAACUGCCGUGCUGGAGUGUGGGAGAGGUGCGUGGAAUUCCUGGUGUAGCGGUGAAAUGCGUAGAUAUCAGGAGGAACACCUGUGGCGAAAGCGGCGCACUGGACCACAACUGACGCUGAGGCGCGAAAGCUAGGGGAGCAAACAGG
RNAcentral lists this ribosomal RNA (253 nucleotides) under uncultured bacterium. RNAcentral's name for it is "partial 16S ribosomal RNA". It matches the Rfam family "Bacterial small subunit ribosomal RNA", at positions 524 to 776 of the family's 1533-position model. The record is from RNAcentral.